This 24-nucleotide non-coding RNA is filed under the name Arabidopsis thaliana (thale cress). Lineage: Eukaryota; Viridiplantae; Streptophyta; Magnoliopsida; Brassicales; Brassicaceae. The record is from RNAcentral.
GAUAAAAUAACUUAGGGCCGGUUC